This 1678-nucleotide long non-coding RNA is filed under the name Pan troglodytes (chimpanzee). RNAcentral describes it as "long non-coding RNA NONPTRT014084". The stretch from base 259 to 389 matches the Rfam family "Prostate androgen-regulated transcript 1 conserved region 3". Lineage: Eukaryota; Metazoa; Chordata; Mammalia; Primates; Hominidae. The record is from RNAcentral.
GAAAAUCAUCAUCAUUGGUGCCUCCAAGGCUCUUUGGUUGGUUCUGCAAUCAUAGGAACCCUUACCUGGUCUCCUGAGACAUUCUCCUCUCUCCACACCCUAGUACAACACCACCCACACACCUGAUGGCAGAGCUUUUAGGGACGGGUAAAUUGAAGCAAAAAGCAGACAAGUUCUAUGGGAUUUGCUGGCAUGGAUUUCCCAGGGUGGCAAAGUGCUAAGAACUAAACCUUUAAAGCUAACAAAAUGUACUGAUGUCUUUGCAAAGUAUCCAAGACCAACAAGAAAGUAAUUUCCCACCUCACCCUACCACCACCCAGAAAAGGAGCACAGAGAUGGGCAAGAGAGUGGCUGCAUCUGGCAUCCAGCCAGAGGAGUCCGUGCAGGGAUUCUGGAUCCCUCUUCCCCCACCCCACUGCCCUUCCCCCUCCACCCCAGCAUUUUGGAGAAGCAAGAAACUGUAAUGAUGCAGCUCCCUCAAGUGUCACAUGAACAUACUGGAAAGAGCCUCCUGAGGUAAAUAUGCCAUGCAGACAGAAACAAGCAAUGGCUCAACAGCAAUGUAUGAGGUCCAAGGACCAGGACCAAAGGGAAAAACAGCCAUCUCACCAGACACCUGCCUACUACCAGAUGCGUCAUCUCCAAUAUUAGCUAACUCCCUGGAACCUGGACUCAAGGUGUGAAAUAAAGGUUAAUGGGAAACCGCAGGAGUCAAAAGGAGGGGGCAGGAUUAUUGAGGAUUCAGGCUGUUGAGAAAUGAAAGUUUGGAUCACUCCCCAGAUAAAGAACCUUGACCAUUUAAGGGCAAUGGAAAUAUAGAAUAGGCAGUAGAAGAAGGAAGCCAUAGAUACCAACUAUGGCCUCUCAAUCAAUUACAAAACUGAGAAUUCUGACAGUUUUGUGUAUUUCCUCUUUGCAUGUGAUGUAUAUGUGUGUAUUUGUAUAUAUUAACCAUUUUCCUUUUUCUCUCCUCAUUAUUUUAUGAAAGCUGUUGAAUAUAAACUCUACAAUUUAGCCUUUAGGUAAGAGAAUAUUCAGUGGGACUUUGAUUUGAGGAGUAUUUAAGACAGCCAGAUGAGACUACGAUAACUGUUGGAACUGUGUGUCUCCUCAUUUGGGGAAAGGGGUGAGAACUCUGCAUUUCUCUGAAGAACAGAGUUGACUUUGUGUUAUACAGAGUUCAAAUAUAUAUAUAAAAUGAUGCAUGUGGAAGCUAAGAAGCCAAAGGAGUUCACCAAGACAGUUAUCGAUAUAUUGCCUCUCCGCUCCAAAUCCACCCUUCUUUGCCCUGUUCCAUGAUACUAAUCUGGCUCCUCGGUCAGCCAGUGCAAUGUCAUCUGUUGCUGGUAGAGUGUAGGGGAGACACUACAAGGUAUAGUAAAGGGGUCAGAUGCGGUGUCUCAUGCCUGUAAUCACAGCCCUUUGGGAGGCAGAGGCAGGAGGAUCACCUGAGGCCAGGAGUUUGAGACCAGCCUGGACAACAUGGUAAAACCCCAUCUCUACUGAAAAUACAAAAUUAGCACGCACCUGUAAUCCCAGCUACUCGGGAGGCUGAGGCAGGAGAAUCACUUGAACCUGGGAGGUGGAGGUUGCAGUGAGCCAAGAUCGCAUCAUUGCACUCCAGCCAGGGAAAAAAGGCAAAACUCUGUCUCAAAAAAAUAAAUAAAUAAAAUAAAAU